GGAGUGGUACUCAAGUGGCUGAAGAGGACGGUUUGCUAAAUCGUUAGGCGGGUUAAACCGUGCGUGGGUUCGAAACCCACCCACUCCGCCA
RNAcentral lists this transfer RNA (91 nucleotides) under Phascolarctobacterium sp. RNAcentral's name for it is "tRNA-Ser". It matches the Rfam family "tRNA". From Rfam's summary of the family: Transfer RNA (tRNA) molecules are approximately 80 nucleotides in length. Their secondary structure includes four short double-helical elements and three loops (D, anti-codon, and T loops). Lineage: Bacteria; Bacillati; Bacillota; Negativicutes; Acidaminococcales; Acidaminococcaceae. The record is from RNAcentral.